GCCAGCGGCGCCGGCUUCGGAGCAGUGGUAGCCGCGAUCUUGUUAGAGCGAGUGUGGGCGGCGCCGAGGGCUGCGGGGACUGUGAAAGGCCGCGGGUUGCUGGGCAGCCACAGGCAGGGCGGGUGUCUGGCCGGUCCGCGACUCCACCCCCGGAAACCAAUCGUUUUUGGCAGCAGACACCAGAUGGGCAUCUUCCAAUUCAAUUCUGACACUUACCUGAAGAUAGCAUCAGAUGCUAUAGAUUAAGGAACUCAGGCUUACAGACUGCUUCUCAUUUCAGGCACCAAGUGCAAAGCCAGGCCUCUAGAACUUUUGGCUAGCCAGUUCCAUAGAGCAGGGUACUCAUGACCUCCUCCUUGGUCCAAUUAACCUGCUCAAGCAACUUAUAGAAUUCAGGGAAACACUUAUGUUUACCAGUUUACUGUAAAGGAUAUUGCAAAGGAUCAGGACGAACAGCCUGGAAGAGAUCAACAGCAAGAUACAGGAAGGGGUGUGGAGCUUCUGUGUCCUCUCUGGAGGCAAUGAAUGGAGAAAUCUCCCUAAGGUCAGCAUUCUAAUUAAUUGCCUCACUGUGGC
This 576-nucleotide long non-coding RNA is filed under the name Heterocephalus glaber (naked mole-rat). RNAcentral describes it as "lncRNA (ENSHGLG00000034917.1)". Lineage: Eukaryota; Metazoa; Chordata; Mammalia; Rodentia; Bathyergidae. The record is from RNAcentral.